GGAAGUUCUUGGGUGAUGCACCCUGGAAUUGGGCUCCCUCCUCUCUGGUUCUGCGUGCGUCCCCCGAGAACCACA
Myotis brandtii (Brandt's bat) is the source of this 75-nucleotide non-coding RNA. Lineage: Eukaryota; Metazoa; Chordata; Mammalia; Chiroptera; Vespertilionidae. The record is from Rfam.